This is a long non-coding RNA of Setaria italica (foxtail millet), 494 nucleotides long. RefSeq lists it as uncharacterized. The record is from RefSeq and is a predicted model, not a curated record. Lineage: Eukaryota; Viridiplantae; Streptophyta; Magnoliopsida; Poales; Poaceae. The transcript is spliced from 4 exons.
ACGCACAGCCAAGAGCAAAUUAGAUAUCAAUCGAACAUAGUAUCGUUCAACAUGCCGAAAGACUCAAACAAGGAGCAGGCUUCUUGUGGUCAGUCUAUUCCCACUGAUAACUCAAGAAAAUCGAAGCCAACCAAAGCAGAAUAUGAUGCACAGCCUAAUGGAAAAAAUCCAUCAUCUGGGACAGAUAAAGGUGUGACGAUUGUUGUGGAGGCCACUCGGACAUCAGACACAAAAGCUAAGGGGAAAAACUAAACUAUGCAGAAGAAUGCCUGCUCGUCUGUCAACUACACAACCCUACUUACAUGUGUGUCUAUAAAUAAAUGUAUAGCAAAUAUGUAAUAAUCAGAAGGUAGAAACAAAUAUAUAUAUUUAUUUAUGUUUUAGUUUGAUGGAUUUGCUUGAUGUAUGUAUACGUAUCCAAAAAUAACAGCCAGCGCUAUGCCCAUAUAUUGUAAAACAAAAAUCUAACAGCAGCAUGGUCUCCUAAAUGCAGU